CCUACGGGUGGCAGCAGUGAGGAAUAUUGGUCAAUGGACGAGAGUCUGAACCAGCCAAGUAGCGUGAAGGAUGACGGCCCUAUGGGUUGUAAACUUCUUUUAUAUGGGAAUAAAAUGUUCCACGUGUGGGAUUUUGUAUGUACCAUAUGAAUAAGGAUCGGCUAACUCCGUGCCAGCAGCCGCGGUAAUACGGAGGAUCCGAGCGUUAUCCGGAUUUAUUGGGUUUAAAGGGAGCGUAGGUGGAUUGUUAAGUCAGUUGUGAAAGUUUGCGGCUCAACCGUAAAAUUGCAGUUGAAACUGGCAGUCUUGAGUACAGUAGAGGUGGGCGGAAUGCGUGGUGUAGCGGUGAAAUGCUUAGAUAUCACGCAGAACUCCGAUUGCGAAGGCAGUUCACUGGACUGCAACUGACACUGAGGCUCGAAAGUGUGGGUAUCAAACAGGAUUAGAUACCCUUGUAGUC
This 460-nucleotide ribosomal RNA is filed under the name uncultured bacterium. Its description in RNAcentral is "partial 16S ribosomal RNA". It matches the Rfam family "Bacterial small subunit ribosomal RNA", at positions 338 to 795 of the family's 1533-position model. The record is from RNAcentral.